AUUGAACGCUGGCGGCAGGCCUAACACAUGCAAGUCGAACGAGUGGCGGACGGGUGAGUAAUUUCUGGGAAACUGCCUGAUGGACGGGGAUAACUACUGGAACCGGUAGCUAAUACCGCAUACCAUCAGAUGUGGUCAGAUGGGAUUAGCUUGUUGGUGGGGUAACGGCUCACCAAGGCGACGAUCCCUAGCUGGUCUGAGAGGAUGACCAGCCACACUGGAACUGAGACACGGUCCAGACUCCUACGGGAGGCAGCAGUGGGGAAUAUUGGACAAUGGGCGCAAGCCUGAUGCAGCCAUGCCGCGUGUAUGAAGAAGGCCUUCGGGUUGUAAAGUACUUUCAGCGGGGAGGCGGUACCUACAGAAGAAGCACCGGCUAACUACGUGCCAGCAGCCGCGGUAAUAC
This 406-nucleotide ribosomal RNA is filed under the name uncultured bacterium. RNAcentral's name for it is "partial 16S ribosomal RNA". It matches the Rfam family "Bacterial small subunit ribosomal RNA", at positions 30 to 526 of the family's 1533-position model. The record is from RNAcentral.